This 110-nucleotide ribosomal RNA is filed under the name Mustela putorius furo (domestic ferret). Lineage: Eukaryota; Metazoa; Chordata; Mammalia; Carnivora; Mustelidae. The record is from RNAcentral.
UGUCUACGGCCAUACCACCCUGAACGCGCCCGAUCUCGUCUGAGCUCGGAAGCUAAGCAGGGUCGGGCCUGGUUAGUACUUGGAUGGGAGGAAAUACGCUUUCUUAAUAU